AUGUCCGGGGACAGCAGAGGCCGCCGGUCCGAGGGCCGAGGCCGUGGCCGGGACCGCGACCGCGAUGCGCACGGGGACCGCACCCGCUCUCGCUCGCGGUCGCCGCUGUCGCCGGGAGCCCGCCGCGGCGCCGCGCCCGAGCGUAGGGAGGCCCUGGAGCGCCCGAGCCUGGACGAGGAGGAGCCGUCGGACUCGGGGGACGAGGGCUUGGACCCGGCGAGCCUGGAGGCGGAGACCGACCACGGCCUGUGCCGCCAGAUCCGCCACCAGUACCGGGCGCUCAUCAACUCCGUCCAACAAAACCGGGAGGAUAUACUGAAUGCUGGUGACAAAUUAACAGAGGUCCUUGAAGAGGCCGACACUCUGUUUAAUGGAGUGUCCCGAGCAAGAGAAGCAGCCCUAGAUGCCCAGUUUCUUGUUUUGGCUUCUGAUUUGGGGAAAGAGAAAGCAAAGCAGCUGCGCUCUGAUCUGAACUCGUUUGAUAUGUUAAGAUACGUCGAGACUCUACUGACACAUAUGGGUGUAAAUCCGCUAGAAGCUGAAGAACUCAUCCGUGAUGAAGAUAGUUCUGAUUUUGAAUUGAUAGUCUAUGACUCCUGGAAAAUAUCAGGCAAAACAGCAGAAAACACCUUUAAUAAAACCCAUACAUUCCACUUUCUGUUGGGUUCAAUACAAGGAGAGCUCCCUGUGCCAAAGCCACGAGUCGAUCGUCCAAAAAAAGUUCGUACGACAGAAGAGCAGAGGGCAAUGCCUGACCAGUUAAAAAGAAUGGAAGAAUCUCAUCAAGAAGCAACAGAAAAAGAAGUAGAAAGAAUCUUGGGAUUGUUGCAAACCUAUUUUCAAGAAGAUCCUGAUACGCCCAUGUCCUUCUUUGACUUUGUGAUUGAUCCACAUUCUUUUCCCCGUACAGUAGAAAACAUCUUUCACGUUUCCUUCAUUAUAAGGGAUGGCUUUGCAAGAAUAAGACUUGACGAAGAUCGACUGCCAGUAAUAGAGCCUGUUAAUAUUAACGAAGAAAACGAGGGAGUUGACCAUAACACCCAAAUUAGGCAUCAAGGAAUUAUAGCUCUGACUUACCGGGACUGGGAGGUAAAGCUGUGCAUGCCGCCCCGGCGUCCUUCUUACCCGUCCUGCUUCGCGUUGAAGCCGGCGCCUAAACAUUCUGUGUUCUCUGCCAGGAGAUUGUGAAGACCUUUGAGAUCUCAGAGGCUGUGAUUGCCUCAAGUCAGAGCCAGCAGAGGCUGAGCACUUGAUGCAACCCAAGGACUCAAAUGGAUAGUGAAAUGCAAACAGAAAAGCAGCAUGUAUUGUACAUAUUGUAUGAUUACACAUUUUUAAGGACAGAUUGUUUUUAGUAAAAUGUAGCUUUUGAUAGUUAAUUUGUCAUGGUUGUCUUUGAUUAAAGGAAAUUCACUGCCAUGUUCACAGUAUAAUUGUAGUUACUCUUUAUUUUCUGAUCAUGGAGUGGUGGGUGGCAGGGGGGACUUCUCCUUUCUCCAAUCGUGUCCCAUUGAAAGUUAUACUUAGGUUGUUAAUGGCCUAAUGGAUAAGGGCAUAAUGGAUCGUUAUGGUUCUUUUUACAUCUCUUUAGCUGUAAAGUUAGGUGAAAAAUGAUGAGAUAUCAGCAAUUUCAUAUGAUUCUGCCGAUGGUUUACACACCAUCUGCCUUCAACCAUGCGCAUCUCUCUCCCGUCUUAAAGAUUAUCGUGACCCUUCCUGAAGCUUCUGUUCCAUCUCCUCUAAAUUGUUGGCUAGGUAGCUAGCUGGAACACCUGGGGAUACAGUGCCUGUGGUUUAACUUUUUUUUUUUUUUGCCAGUUUGAUCCAUUUAGAGACGAAAUUAGGGGGUACAGGAUGUAACUGUACUAACAACUAUGAAAGUAUGCUAGUAUGAAAAAGGCAUGCAAUAAUCAUGAAAAUAACUUAAACUUUAUUUUUUUCUAGUUGACUUCUCAAAAACGGUGGCAUGCUCAAGAGCUCCCUUCGGAGUGGCUUUUCAAUUUUAUCCUCUUUUUUUGCCUUUUCCAUCAUAAUAGUCACUUCUAUGAGGGCUUUCUCGUAAGGCUGGACAAUUGGAUAGGCUGUGACCCAUUCAAACUCUUUCAUCUCUUUCUCCACUAGAGACUUUUGGCAAGGAGGGACUCGGUUAGAGAGUUUCUGAGCAUCCUUUUUAUCAUUCCUCUGCUCUGUGAGCUCUCGCCCUCGAAUCAUUCGCUCUCGAUGUCCCUUUAUCUGUUUUUUCGCCUGUAACACCUUGUGCUUUUCAGUUUUAGCUUUGGGUGUUUUCUGGAUGUUUUCAUUCUUUUCAACCUUCUCCAGUGAUAAUAUUUUGGGGGAAAGUAUUUCAGUGGGAAUUCUUUGUGGGAGUAGGCGGUCUCUGUGGUCCCUGAGGCCUCUGGCGCGCUCGGCUCGGUAAAUGUGCUUCUCUGUCUGAUGGAGCUCCAUUUCAGGCACUAGAUAGUCCCAUUUUUUAACAUCUUCUGUCUUUUGACUUUGUGGUCUCUUUUCUUCUUCCUUUAUUUUGAUUUCCCAUUGGGGAACCAUAUUGUAUUUCCAUUCUUCCAUCAUCAUUUCUUGAUACCGUUGAUAGUAGUAUGCCUCUGCUUUGGCAAACCGCAAGUCAAAAGACAUGGCCUUAAGCUUAUCAAGUGUUUUGUUUUCCUGUUGAAACUUUUGGGCUAACAGUUUCCUUACUUCUGAAGACUGGACACCACCUAAACUCUUGUCGAAGGCAAAUAUUAGAGUUUUUUAAGCUGGAUGUCCCUUAUCGUAGUUCC
RNA transcript from Trichechus manatus latirostris (Florida manatee), 2777 nucleotides. It is a transcript of the gene named NSE4 homolog A, SMC5-SMC6 complex component, with no coding region annotated. Lineage: Eukaryota; Metazoa; Chordata; Mammalia; Sirenia; Trichechidae. The transcript has 10 exons. The record is from RefSeq and is a predicted model, not a curated record.